AUGGAGGCGGAGCGGAUCUCGUCCCUUGCCGGUGGGAGGGCUCCGUUUUUAGAUCUUUUUUCGAGUUUUGUUAGGGUUUGUGUCCUACUCAGGAAGGCGAGAUGGCGGCGACUCCUUGAAGAUGGAAUAAAGGUCUCCCCGCCUAGCCCCCAUUUCGAUAAUGCGUCUAGCAUCGUCGGUGGGCGUGUGGAGUUGUGUCUCCGGCGGAUCUGUCUUUGGUGGAUUUGCUCGGAUCUGUUCCUUGUUCGUUUGUGUUCCCGUGCCUUCAGGGCCUUAGCACGACGACUUCCCGACUGUCUACUACAACAUGGUUUGCCGGCUUCGGCGAUGAAGGGGCGAUGA
This 342-nucleotide ribosomal RNA is filed under the name Triticum aestivum (bread wheat). RNAcentral's name for it is "partial small subunit ribosomal RNA". Lineage: Eukaryota; Viridiplantae; Streptophyta; Magnoliopsida; Poales; Poaceae. The record is from RNAcentral.